RNAcentral lists this long non-coding RNA (3455 nucleotides) under Hordeum vulgare. Its description in RNAcentral is "long non-coding RNA (HVUL_LNC009191)". Lineage: Eukaryota; Viridiplantae; Streptophyta; Magnoliopsida; Poales; Poaceae. The record is from RNAcentral.
CCGAUAGGAUGCAACCGUGGGGCCUUCUUCGGUUCUGGUGAGUCCCUGGUCUCCCUGCUCUCUUCAUGUGCCCUGAGAUGGUCCGGUCAUUGAGCCGCCAAUUUACUGUCCAGUCUGUCAGUUUUAGCUUUCUCAGUCUAUCACUUUCCUUGCUAUCAAUUAGUGUGUGUUGCAUUAUGCACUACUCCCUCCGUUACUAAAUAUAAGUCUUUGUACCGAUUUCACUAGUGGACUACAUAUGAAUGUAUAUAGAUAUAUUUUAAAGUGUACAUUCAAUCAUUUUGGUCCGUAUGUAGACAUCUAGUGAAAUCGCUUAAAAGACUUAUAUUUAGGAAGGGAGGAAGUACUUAUUUUAGGAUGGACUCCUGGUCUGCUUAACGUAGUUUCUCCUAUUGCUGCAGGAUGCAAUCACGUUGUACCCUGGUCUUAUUUUAAGCCAGAAAGUGCAAUAUCUCUUGUAAUGGACCCUUUUUUUCUUUUCUUCAGUCCUUGAUGACGCUCUCUACCAUGUGGCCUACAACAUCAACCUUGAGUCAUGACGAACAUCUAAUUCUACAUGGAGAAGUCCAAUUACAAGGUACAUACAUAAACCAACCUUUGCUUGUUCUAACAAAUAUAUGUACUCUCAUCAGUCAGUUUGCAGGGGGGAGAACAACUGGGGUUUUUCAUUAUUAUUAUUUUGGAAAAGGAGGUUAAGACCUCCGACCUCUGCAUCAAUCGAUGCAUACAACCAUCUUUAUUACUUAUUCAACAAAGGUCUAACAAAAACAUAUAUCAAGCCACCCGAAGCCCCCACUCACACCUACAAAACGCGAUAAUCUGGAAUGCUCUCACUCCCCAUAUCUAAAAUCGGUGUCGUCGCCGAUCCAUCCACAUAACGUAUCGAAACUAACAACUGAUGCAGCAGACCUAAAGCAUACACCACACGCACACGUUUUAGAAGCCGCCAUCAUCAUCGAACCGUUGACCCAUCUUCAGAAGAGAAAUCCGCAUCAUCCAUGCCAGUCCGGCCAUCCGUCGACGCCACCACUACACCCAACGGUGCCACCUCCCUGCGCUCAUCCAUCCACACGCGAAGACUCUGUAAGAUCUGUCGUGCGUAGCACCUGCCGAACAGGCAUGACAAAGAGUAGCACCUGUCCGCCAGGCAUGACCUAACAUCAUCACCGAAGCUCCGUGCAGGACGAAGACGCUCCACCUCCUGCCUCUGUCUUCCAGCGCUUCUCCACAAACGAUGCUCCCUAGAGAGGAAUGACACCGCAAUGUCGUUAUCGUCUGAUCUGGAAACCAGAUCCUAGGGUUUCCCCUGGAGCAGCACGAGUGGAUCGACCUCCCUGCGCUCAUCCAUCCAGACGCAAAGACUCGUAAGAUCUGUCGUGCGUAGCACCUUCCGAACAGGCAUGACAAAGCGUAGCACCUGUCGGCCAGGCAUGACCUGACAUCACCAUCGAAGCUCCGUGCAGGACGAAGACGCUCCACCUCCUGCCUCUGUCUUCCAGCGCUGCUCCACAAACGAUGCUCCCUAGAGAGGAAUGACACCGCAAUGCCGCCAUCGUCCGAUCUGGAAAACCAGAUCCUAGGGUUUCUCUUGGAGCAGCACGAGUGGAUCAACAGUAGUUACAGGAGGAAGCCUUCAUCAAGGUAACGGCGCAGAACGUCACCAUCGUCCGAUGUCGGCUCGGUUUUCACCGGCAACUAUGUCUCCCCGACUCGCAGUGAGUAUCGAAUCCUGCGACGAGCCCAGUCACGGGAUUCCAAAAUCCGCCGUCACCGGUGCCGCCACAAAGACCCACCACUUGGCCCGUCAUCCCCGGCGGAGGGGACACUGCCACCAUCAUGGUCGGAUCCGGGUUAGCCGUCGUCGUCGCCACCGCCAAGACCGGAUCAGGGCUGAACGCCGCCGCUGCCACCGCCACCGGCCACACCCAGCUCCACCUUCAUAUUCUAGCCACGUCCAACCGACCGGCACGCCACGCCCAGCCAAUCUCCACCCGCGCCGCCACGCGUCGCUGUGCCUUGGAUCCGCAUGACGUCGUCGCCAAAGCCGCCGUCCCACGCCGCACGACAUCGAACGAGGAGAAGGGAAAUCCCGACCGCCGCCUACGCCGACCGGAUCGGCGGCGCCGGCCAGGCUUUGCCCAACCGCGUCCUUAGGCGGCGGCGAGGAAGGAGGGAGGGAGAGGAGGCUGCUGGAGGUGGCGGGCUGGGGAGCCCUCCCCGUCGUUUGAUUCUGUAUGGCUUAGAUUAUAUGUCCGAGAAGCUCAACAUCCACAAGAGUGGAUCUCUGCAUCCUUCUCCUCUACAAGCACCACAGACCACGAAGUUGUGUGCUGACAGUUCUUCUUCCACCCUUACGCGUUCCGCCCUGCCCCUUCGGUGCCUCAUUAUUCUCCCACUCUAGCAUAGGUGGUAAGCCAUUGGUUCCUCUCUCCUGUGUGUGUGUGUUUGAUGCUAUGUAUAUAUAAUUUGAUGUUGUUUGGAUUAAUGGUUCCACUGCUACUGAAUGAAUCGAGAGAAUUAUGGGCAUGUACCUAUUCAUUUUUAAAAACCUUUCAAUUAUGCAUGGAAACUAUCAAAUUGUGGGCAUGUACGUGUUUAUUUACCAAACCUUGCAAAUAUGAAUGGACUAACCAAUGGGAAGAUAGUUUUGUGGGACCAACCAUAUGAUUGCUUUAGAUAAUAGUAAUUCAGGUAAAGGUUCUUUUAUGUGCAAAAUAUAAAAUGGACAAUUCACCUUCUCUAGUAGUUUGGGGAUGUCAACACCUACAGUUUUCUUCAUAUGCCAACAAUUUUAUAUUGGAUACAUUCAUAUAUUGGGUAAAUGCAACUAAAUAUCAUCAUGAAAAUUUGAGGUGCUCACAAAAUUUUACUAGAUUAGUUUUUCAUGCCAGAUUCGGAUUCAACCAAGUGAGGAUUCCAACUUGGUCACAUAAUAAGAAAACGCCUUGCCGUCCUCUUCUACCAAAAGCACAUCACCUCUUUAGCUCUUGCCUGUUUCCCGGUAUAAGAACAUUCUUAAAACCAUUUCUUGGAGAAAAUACAUUUUAAUUUGAUUGUGGCAUUUAAAUUGUUUAGGUUGAAAUUUUCUCUUAGUUUAUGGUGGCAUUUCAAAUACUGAUUCUUGCCAAUAUUAUAUCAUCGCAGAUUACAUAACCAAAUUCUGCAUUAUCUCAGUACCUUUGUAUUCAUGAUUUGCACUUCUCUAUGUCUUGAUUCCUCCAUUUCAGGUGAUGCUUCAUGCCGGAUUGGAUACUUUCUUAGUAUUUCAUAAUGUUUGAGCUUUAACUUGCCGUUUGGAGGAGCCUUGUUCAAUGACUGGUUAGCAUGUUGUUGUGACCCUGGUUGAAUAUGUAUGCAUAUGUGGACUUCGAACUCAUGGCCCUUUCGUUAGUGAACUCUUGUUACAUAUGUAGACAUGUUAUUGUAAACCUUUGUUGGAUAUGUAUAGAUGUGUG